RNAcentral lists this ribosomal RNA (726 nucleotides) under uncultured marine bacterium. Its description in RNAcentral is "bacterial SSU rRNA". It matches the Rfam family "Bacterial small subunit ribosomal RNA", at positions 57 to 779 of the family's 1533-position model. The record is from RNAcentral.
GCAAGUCGUGCGAGAAAGAUCUUCGGAUAUGAGUAGAGCGGCGGACGGGUGAGUAACGCGUAGGAAUCUACCUAGUAGAAGGGGAUAGCCCGGGGAAACCCGGAUUAAUACCGUAUACCUCCUUCGGGAGAAAGAAGGCCUCUCUUUGAAGCUUUCGCUAUUAGAUGAGCCUGCGUAAGAUUAGCUUGUUGGUGAGGUAAAGGCUCACCAAGGCUACGAUCUUUAGCUGGUCUGAGAGGACGAUCAGCCACAUUGGGACUGAGACACGGCCCAGACUCCUACGGGAGGCAGCAGUGGGGAAUAUUGGACAAUGGGCGCAAGCCUGAUCCAGCCAUACCGCGUGUGUGAAGAAGGCCUUCGGGUUGUAAAGCACUUUAAGCAGGGAGAAAAAGUUAUAAGUUAAUACCCUAUAACCGUGAUGCUACCUGCAGAAUAAGCACCGGCUAAUUCCGUGCCAGCAGCCGCGGUAAUACGGAAGGUGCAAGCGUUAAUCGGAAUUACUGGGCGUAAAGCGCGCGUAGGUGGUUUGUUAAGUUGGAUGUGAAAGCCCUGGGCUCAACCUAGGAACUGCAUCCAAAACUAACUCACUAGAGUACGAUAGAGGGAGGUAGAAUUCAUAGUGUAGCGGUGGAAUGCGUAGAUAUUAUGAAGAAUACCAGUGGCGAAGGCGGCCUCCUGGAUCUGUACUGACACUGAGGUGCGAAAGCGUGGGUAGCGAACAGGAUU